This 875-nucleotide ribosomal RNA is filed under the name uncultured bacterium. Its description in RNAcentral is "bacterial SSU rRNA". It matches the Rfam family "Bacterial small subunit ribosomal RNA", at positions 615 to 1502 of the family's 1533-position model. The record is from RNAcentral.
UCCAAACUGCAUUUGAAACUGUCGGUCUUGAGUAUCGGAGAGGUAACCGGAAUUCCUAGUGUAGCGGUGAAAUGCGUAGAUAUUAGGAAGAACACCAGUGGCGAAGGCAGCUCACUGGACUGCAGCUGACACUGAUGCUCGAAAGUGUGGGUAUCAAACAGGAUUAGAUACCCUGGUAGUCCACACAGUAAACGAUGAAUACUCGCUGUUUGCGAUAUACAGUAAGCGGCCAAGCGAAAGCAUUAAGUAUUCCACCUGGGGAGUACGCCGGCAACGGUGAAACUCAAAGGAAUUGACGGGGGCCCGCACAAGCGGAGGAACAUGUGGUUUAAUUCGAUGAUACGCGAGGAACCUUACCCGGGCUUAAAUUGCAGUGGAAUGAUGUGGAAACAUGUCAGUGAGCAAUCACCGCUGUGAAGGUGCUGCAUGGUUGUCGUCAGCUCGUGCCGUGAGGUGUCGGCUUAAGUGCCAUAACGAGCGCAACCCUUAUCUUCAGUUACUAACAGGUCAUGCUGAGGACUCUGGAGAGACUGCCGUCGUAAGAUGUGAGGAAGGUGGGGAUGACGUCAAAUCAGCACGGCCCUUACGUCCGGGGCUACACACGUGUUACAAUGGGGGGUACAGAAGGCAGCUAGCGGGUGACCGUAUGCUAAUCCCAAAAUCCUCUCUCAGUUCGGAUCGAAGUCUGCAACCCGACUUCGUGAAGCUGGAUUCGCUAGUAAUCGCGCAUCAGCCACGGCGCGGUGAAUACGUUCCCNNNNCUUGUACACACCGCCCGUCAAGCCAUGGGAGCCGGNNNNNNCUGAAGUACGUAAGCGCAAGGAUCGUCCUAGGGUAAAACUGGUGACUGGGGAUAGGUCGUAACAAGGUAACCA